AAUCUUUCUUGGUGGUACAUAAAAUAAUGCUAUAUAUUAUAACUGAUGAUGGCUUAGAACCGACAAAACACAGAAUAUAUAUCAUAGCUAUUGAACUGAGUGGUCCCCACAAGCACACAGACUUUUUAAAAAUUACAAACCUAAACAACUUUAUGGAAACAGAACCCAAUGACCCUUAACGUCUGACUGUUCAUACCCUUCUGCAUUUGUGCAUGUACACACACACACACACACACACACACACACACACACACACCAGAGUUCUGGGUCCCUUCACUCCCUCGUUCAGGAGCAUUACUGUGUGUACCUCUCUCCAGGGCUGUGCCAGGCACCAGAAACGCAGCGAUGACAUAGACACAUUCCUUUCUCCACGGAGCUCAGGAUACAAGAACCACAGUGGAUGAUGGCUGUGAGUGGAGCUAGCAGUAGACCUCUGAGCUGUGGACCUCAGGUUUUCCAGCUGCUCACCCCUUUUCUCACUCCUGUAGCCUCCCUGCACCCUCCCCAUGUUUCAGCUGUCUUUCUGUCACACAAACUCAAGAAACAGGCAUGUGAACACAAACAUGCAAGCUAGUGGGUGACCCUCCCGCCCAUGUCACCAUGGAAAGGCUGUUGGAAAUUAACUGGUUCAACCCUUCCCUAUACAGAGGAGGGACUGAGAAUCAUAGACGGGAGGGUCCUUUCCUGAGGUCACACAGCAUGUCUAGGGUAGGGCCUGGAGUUGAGCCCAGGUCUCUGUCCCUCUCCCCCGCAUCCAGUGGUCCUCACCCCUUACUCCUUCCUGUCCUCUCCUCCCAGCACCUGGAUAUCAGCCACCCCGUCUGAGCUGAGCCCUUCUCCCAGCCCCCAUCACAUUUCCUGGGAGGAAUGGGUGUUCUUUGGUCCAACUGCCCUCGGAGCCCCACGACAGCUCCUUCCCGCUCAUCUGCACACUGCCCCCUCCUGGCCACCAGGCCCCAGCCCCAGCUGUAGAGGGACCCGAAGUUUGGGCUGCGGGCUGCCUGAAGGAGGAAUGCAUGACUUCAGGUCCAGGAGGGGGCAUUCUCUGCUCCCUGCAGAGCCGGCCCCGCUGCCCCCCAUUUGUGCCCCUUCCAAGCUACGGAGGCUCCGGGUGGCUGUUGGGGUGGGGAACAGAAAAGCCAGCCAGGCUCACAGAUCAGACAAGCCAGAUCUGUCCCAGGGUAUAUGGGGAAACUGAGGCCUGGAGAGGAGCAGCUUGCCCAGGAUACUUGCUGGGGCUCCCUCCACUGGCCCAGGCUGCUGUGGGUCCAUCUCAGAUGGUCGUUCACUUGGGACAUAUUUAUGUUUGUGGCCCAUCAACCAGUGGAGGGAUGUCAGCCACGUGGUCCUGGCUGUAACAGGGCGGUAGUGCUGGACCCCUGGGUGGGGUCCCACCAUGGGCGCCCCAGUUUUCUCCUUGAAGUAUGAGGAAUUUGCUUAGUUCUGCUCUGUGAGUCAGUCUCCUGACCCAGCAUCCGGCGUGUAUUCAGCGGAUGGGCGGGGUGGUGGAAGAGCAAACCCUGCCCCCUCCGCCCCCUCCACCCUCACUCCCUCCAUCCCUGCCCUUCACGGAGGCUGAUUGGUAUUAAACUAUUCAAACCCAAAAGGAA
This 1610-nucleotide long non-coding RNA is filed under the name Homo sapiens (human). Its description in RNAcentral is "HSALNT0354752". The record is from RNAcentral. Lineage: Eukaryota; Metazoa; Chordata; Mammalia; Primates; Hominidae.